RNAcentral lists this ribosomal RNA (1346 nucleotides) under uncultured bacterium. Its description in RNAcentral is "partial 16S ribosomal RNA". It matches the Rfam family "Bacterial small subunit ribosomal RNA", at positions 28 to 1381 of the family's 1533-position model. The record is from RNAcentral.
GACGAACGCUGGCGGCGUGCUUAACACAUGCAAGUCGAACGGAAAGGCCCUGCUUUUGUGGGGUGCUCGAGUGGCGAACGGGUGAGUAACACGUGAGUAACCUGCCCUUGACUUUGGGAUAACUUCAGGAAACUGGGGCUAAUACCGGAUAGGAGCUCCUGCUGCAUGGUGGGGGUUGGAAAGUUUCGGCGGUUGGGGAUGGACUCGCGGCUUAUCAGCUUGUUGGUGGGGUAGUGGCUUACCAAGGCUUUGACGGGUAGCCGGCCUGAGAGGGUGACCGGCCACAUUGGGACUGAGAUACGGCCCAGACUCCUACGGGAGGCAGCAGUGGGGAAUAUUGCACAAUGGGCGGAAGCCUGAUGCAGCAACGCCGCGUGCGGGAUGACGGCCUUCGGGUUGUAAACCGCUUUCGCCUGUGACGAAGCGUGAGUGACGGUAAUGGGUAAAGAAGCACCGGCUAACUACGUGCCAGCAGCCGCGGUGAUACGUAGGGUGCGAGCGUUGUCCGGAUUUAUUGGGCGUAAAGGGCUCGUAGGUGGUUGAUCGCGUCGGAAGUGUAAUCUUGGGGCUUAACCCUGAGCGUGCUUUCGAUACGGGUUGACUUGAGGAAGGUAGGGGAGAAUGGAAUUCCUGGUGGAGCGGUGGAAUGCGCAGAUAUCAGGAGGAACACCAGUGGCGAAGGCGGUUCUCUGGGCCUUUCCUGACGCUGAGGAGCGAAAGCGUGGGGAGCGAACAGGCUUAGAUACCCUGGUAGUCCACGCUGUAAACGGUGGAUACUAGGUGUGGGGUCCAUUCCACGGGUUCCGUGCCGUAGCUAACGCUUUAAGUACCCCGCCUGGGGAGUACGGCCGCAAGGCUAAAACUCAAAGGAAUUGACGGGGCCCCGCACAAGCGGCGGAGCAUGCGGAUUAAUUCGAUGCAACGCGUAGAACCUUACCUGGGUUUGACAUGGAUCGGGAGUGCUCAGAGAUGGGUGUGCCUCUUUUGGGGUCGGUUCACAGGUGGUGCAUGGCUGUCGUCAGCUCGUGUCGUGAGAUGCUGGGUUAAGUCCCGCAACGAGCGCAACCCUUGUUCACUGUUGCCAGCACGUUAUGGUGGGGACUCAGUGGAGACCGCCGGGGUCAACUCGGAGGAAGGUGGGGAUGACGUCAAGUCAUCAUGCCCCUCAUGUCCAGGGCUUCACGCAUGCUACAAUGGCUGGUACAGAGAGUGGCGAGCCUGUGAGGGUGAGCGAAUCUCGGAAAGCCGGUCUCAGUUCGGAUUGGGGUCUGCAACUCGACCUCAUGAAGUCGGAGUCGCUAGUAAUCGCAGAUCAGCAACGCUGCGGUGAAUACGUUCCCGGGGCU